Molecule: unclassified non-coding RNA, 348 nt
Filed under: soil metagenome
Description: partial contains 5.8S ribosomal RNA, internal transcribed spacer 2, and large subunit ribosomal RNA
Rfam family: 5.8S ribosomal RNA (bases 1-120)
Source: RNAcentral
GAUGAAGAACGCAGCGAAAUGCGAAAAGUAAUGUGAAUUGCAGAAUUCAGUGAACCAUCGAAUCUUUGAACGCACAUUGCGCCCGCUGUAACUCCGGCGGGCACGCCUGUCCGAGCGUCAUUUCAACCCUCAGGCCCCCCUUCGCGGGCGGGCCUGGUGUUGGGGCCCGGCCGCUACCCUGCGGCCGUCCCCUAAAUUCAGUGGCGGCCUCGCCGUGAUCCCUUGCGUAGUAAUGCACCUCGCACCGGAGAGCGCCGUGGCCACGCCGUAAAACCCCCAAUUUUCAAUGGUUGACCUCGGAUCAGGUGGGAAUACCCGCUGAACUUAAGCAUAUCAAUAAGCGGAGGA